UUAAAGGAAAAGCCCAUGGUAUUCUCAC
RNAcentral lists this non-coding RNA (28 nucleotides) under Rattus norvegicus (Norway rat). Lineage: Eukaryota; Metazoa; Chordata; Mammalia; Rodentia; Muridae. The record is from RNAcentral.